Long non-coding RNA from Equus caballus (horse), 366 nucleotides. RefSeq lists it as uncharacterized. NCBI's taxonomy places the organism in Eukaryota, Metazoa, Chordata, Mammalia, Perissodactyla, Equidae. The record is from RefSeq and is a predicted model, not a curated record.
CCGCUAUGACCAUUACUGGGUAGAGAUGUAACGGCUGGAGAUGGUGGACAGCCUGCAAUGCAUGUGACAGUCCCAUUCUUGUGAGCUGCAUGAUUUUUGAACACCCCACUGAACAUUUGCACAGAACUUUUCCAAGAGUUGUUCACCAUUCUGGAAAAUCACAUCAGCAAUGUCAACACCACUCAUGGAAUUUGAAUCUCCAUUGCAAGAAACCUGUGUGGGCCUGCACUGGUAGCUGCCACAUUCAAGGUGAUGCUGGGUAUGGACACGAGCGCCUGCAACUUUGUCAUUUAUUCUAGUGCAGUCCUGCUGAGCAUGUGCAUGUUGAAAUGCGUGCUAUUUCAUUGUAAAUUAUUUUCCUUUUAA